UUGCACCUUUCAAGCGAGUGGCGAACGGGUGAGUAACACGUGGAUAACCUGCCUCAAGGCUGGGGAUAACAUUUGGAAACAGAUGCUAAUACCGAAUAAAACUUAGUAUCGCAUGAUACAAAGUUGAAAGGCGCUACGGCGUCACCUAGAGAUGGGUCCGCGGUGCAUUAGUUAGUUGGUGGGGUAAAGGCCUACCAAGACAAUGAUGCAUAGCCGAGUUGAGAGACUGAUCGGCCACAUUGGGACUGAGACACGGCCCAAACUCCUACGGGAGGCUGCAGUAGGGAAUCUUCCACAAUGGGCGAAAGCCUGAUGGAGCAACGCCGCGUGUGUGAUGAAGGCUUUAGGGUCGUAAAGCACUGUUGUAUGGGAAGAAAUGCUAGAAUAGGGAAUGAUUCUAGUUCGACGGUACCAUACCAGAAAGGGACGGCUAAAUACGUGCCAGCAGCCGCGGUAAUACGUAUGUCCCGAGCGUUAUCCGGAUUUAUUGGGCGUAAAGCGAGCGCAGACGGUUGAUUAAGUCUGAUGUGAAAGCCCGGAGCUCAACUCCGGAAUGGCAUUGGAAACUGGUUAACUUGAGUGUUGUAGAGGUAAGUGGAACUCCUGGUGUAAACGGGG
RNAcentral lists this ribosomal RNA (618 nucleotides) under Leuconostoc lactis. RNAcentral's name for it is "bacterial SSU rRNA". It matches the Rfam family "Bacterial small subunit ribosomal RNA", at positions 80 to 684 of the family's 1533-position model. Lineage: Bacteria; Bacillati; Bacillota; Bacilli; Lactobacillales; Lactobacillaceae. The record is from RNAcentral.